CAAGUCGAACGCUAUUAUGAGGUAGCAAUAUUUCAUAGUCGGAGUGGCGCAAGGGUGCGUAACACGUGGGUAAUUUGCCGUGAAGCUCGGGAUAACUCGCUGAAAGGCGAGCUAAUACCGAAUGUGACUCCUGGAGGGUAUCCUCUGGGAUUUAAAGCUGGGGACCGUAAGGCCUGGCACUUCUCGAUAAGCCCGCGGCCUAUCAGCUAGUUGGUGAGGUAACGGCUCACCAAGGCUAAGACGGGUAGCUGGUCUGAGAGGACGACCAGCCACACUGGAACUGAGACACGGUCCAGACACCUACGGGUGGCAGCAGUCGAGAAUUUUUCACAAUGGGCGCAAGCCUGAUGGAGCGACGCCGCGUGGGGGAUGAAUGGCUUCGGACCGUAAACCCCUGUCAUUUGCGAACAAACCUUGCUAUUUAAAAGAUGGCGAGCUGAUUGUAGCGAAAGAGGAAGGGACGGCUAACUCUGUGCCAGCAGCCGCGGUAAUACAGAGGUCCCGAGCGUUGUUCGGAUUCACUGGGCGUAAAGGGUGCGUAGGUGGUCGGGUAAGUCUGAGGUGAAAUCUCCGAGCCCAACUCGGAAACUGCCUUGGAUACUAUUCGGCUAGAGGGUUGGAGGGGGGACUGGAAUUCUCGGUGUAGCAGUGAAAUGCGUAGAUAUCGAGAGGAACACCAGUGGCGAAGGCGAGUCCCUGGACAACUCCUGACACUGAGGCACGAAAGCUAGGGGAGCAAACAGGAUUAGAUACCCUGGUAGUCCUAGCCGUAAACGGUGCACGUUUGCUGUAAGANGAAUCGACCCCUUUUGUGGCGAAGCUAACGCGUUAAACGUGCCGCCUGGGAAGUACGGUCGCAAGAUUAAAACUCAAAGAAAUUGACGGGGGCCUGCACAAGCGGUGGAGUAUGUGGCUCAAUUC
Molecule: ribosomal RNA, 921 nt
Filed under: uncultured Verrucomicrobiota bacterium
Lineage: Bacteria; Pseudomonadati; Verrucomicrobiota
Description: bacterial SSU rRNA
Rfam family: Bacterial small subunit ribosomal RNA
Source: RNAcentral